UUACCUCGGUAAAGGGAAGCCGGUUCGUUC
RNAcentral lists this non-coding RNA (30 nucleotides) under Mus musculus (house mouse). The record is from RNAcentral. Lineage: Eukaryota; Metazoa; Chordata; Mammalia; Rodentia; Muridae.